This 433-nucleotide ribosomal RNA is filed under the name uncultured bacterium. RNAcentral describes it as "partial 16S ribosomal RNA". It matches the Rfam family "Bacterial small subunit ribosomal RNA", at positions 29 to 507 of the family's 1533-position model. The record is from RNAcentral.
AACGAACGCUGGCGGCAUGCCUAACACAUGCCAGUCGAACGAGACCUUCGGGUCUAGUGGCGCACGGCUGCGUCACGCGUGGGAACCUUCCCUUAGGUUCGGCCUACCUCCCCGAAAGGGGUGCUAUUACCGGAAAAUGUCUCCGGACCAAAGAUUUAUCGCAGUUGGAUGGGCCCGCGUUGGCUUGGCUAGUUGGUAGGGUAAAAGCCUACCAAGGCGACGAUACAUAGCUGGUACGCGAGGAUGCUCAGCGACACUGGGACGAAGACACGGCCCGGACGCCUACGAGAGGAAGGAGGGGGGGAUAUUGGACCAUGGAGGAAAGCCCGAUACAGCUAGGCUGGGUGAGUUAUGCAUGGCUUAGGGUUGUAAAGCCCUCUUAACCGGGAUGAUAAUGACAGGACCGGGAGAGUAAGACCCGGCUAACUGCGUG